CCAAAAGAUCUUAGGUGACUUCAGUCAAGUUAAUCAAGUGGCAGCAGCACCAACAGAGAGCAUAAUUAUCAGAAUUGCUCCUCUAGAACCUGAAGGAAGAGUAAAUACUUUAAGAGAAAGCAGCUAGAUGGCAAGAGAGGCAGAAACCAUCAAAAGUUAUCAGAAUUUGUGCUUUUUAGUUAGGUAGAAGAUUUUUUUUGAUUUUGAGCACAAUUCAUGCCUUUAGCCACUUGAGAAAAACAAAUAACUCAUUUUUUUUUGUCUUUCGUUUUUGCCUGUAUCACAAAAGUGUAUACAGAGAGAAUAUAUCUCACGAGUUCAUCAAAGUUCUUUUUGCAAAUACAUGUUUAACGGUGAAAUGUGAAUUAGUCUUUUUUAUCCAAAAACAUUAAGAAUCAUCUACAACCAAAGACUGAUAAGUGCUAGUUCAUGUAUGCUUAUGUGACACAGUCACUACACAGAAUCAAAGAGUCAGUAGACAGAAUAAAUGGUUUCUGGUAAUGAAUGCCAAGGUUUUUGUGUAGUAGUGUUUUGUCUACAUGAUGCAUAUACGGUGCAGACCUGGUCACGUGUAUGCUUGAUAGUUAGAAAUGCAUAAAGUUAGUGAAGAAACAAUGCAUCUAUCAACUUGACUCGACCCACUUAAAUACUACCUAUAUGCCUAAAAACACCAAUUCACAAAUGAGUCAUCAAGAUAGCCUAUACCAGACGAUUCUUCAUCGUAAUGAUAAAGAAAAACUAUCAUUGCCAGAGGAAAGUGAUAUACUGAUAUGGACCCAACCCACAAUAAGAUAAGCCAACUGAUCUUAGUUUAUAGGUAAAAUUCAGAACUAAAGCUAGUUUGGGGGAUGCAUCAUCUUGUAAGGUUCUUAACUGCCAGUCAAGUGAUAAACCUACUAUCCUAUGGGAAUAGCCUUGACACAAGACAACCUAUGCCACGAUAUAUUAUCGAAAAUUUAGAGUUGUUCUGUAGUAGAUAGGUAUACCCACAGGUCACAUACAAAAAAUCUGAAUGAGGAGAAGCAUCCAAUUAUUGUCAUCACAAGUGUCUCUUGCUCUACUCCGACAGUUGAUACCUCAAAAUAUACUCACCCUAUCAUUUAUCAUAUACUCACCUUCCGACUAGAUUUAGUAUACUCAAAAUCUAUUACUUUUCUGUCUUUUCUCCCCAACAGGCGCUCAUCAUGCAUACACUACCUAGUGCAAGAUGUUGUCAUGAUAAAAUGAACCAAGAAAAGGCUAAGCCUAAUGAUUCAGAUAUGAAAAGAGAAACAGAACUAGAAACUUGGCCACUUUGACUCUCUGUGAUAAAAAAAAAAAAAAAUCGUGCAAAUAUAAGAUAACACAUGGAGUGAUCAACUAGAUAUAUAGCUAGAUAUCAUAGUUAUUUUCAUAGAUUCUCAAGAUAUCAGAGUCCGAAUCCUGAUAUGAGUGACAUCAGACAAGCUGGAAUCCACAACCCAUUGUAAAAAAAAAAAACUACUAAUAACUUGAUCUAGUUAAGGACCACAAGUUAUAACUACGAGAUUUUGGAGAUCCUGUAAUUUAAAAGGGAGCAACAUGUCAUAAACAAGGUUAUCAAAACAAAAGACAUGUCAUAUACAAGGUUAUCAAAACAAAAGACAUGCCAUAAAUAAUGAUGGUUCAAAUAAGACUUAAGAUCCUAGGCAUUUCUGAUUGGAUUAGAGACAAAAUAAAGUGUAGGAAAGUUCAAUUUAAUAAGCAAAUCCCGGCUUAAAAGAAAUGGGAAUUUAAUAGUGAGUGAGGCCGUGCACAAAAAGAAAGGGUUAUUGGUUAAUAACAGAAGACUGUGGUUAACAGGUAGCAUAUCUGCAUUAAGCAUCUGUGGGAUAUCCGAUCAUAUCCAAUAAUAUACCAUUGAGAGUGUAAAAACUACUACAAAGUAACUUUUAAGUGCAACUUUUAUCCGUGAUAAAUUGCAAAUCUAGCUUAAGUAAUGCCCUUACCAAAACAGCUUAUAGCCUGAAACAGUAUAACUCUCUCAAUAACUGAGGGCUUUCUAGAAAUUUGCCAUGAAUCUACUACUGGAACAACCAUAAGGGAUCAAUGCAGUUACCAAAUCAUUAUAGGAAAAGUUACAUUCCCAUUGCAAUUAUGAUAAUGUUCUUUUGCUGGGUGAGAACUAUUUUCUCUACUAUUGACAGAGUUAAAAGUAGGACAGUGUAAAUACACAAGCACUAGAGGAUAAUGAUAGCUUUGGAAGAUAAUGUAUAGAAAUACCAUUUAAGUGCUUUAAGAAAAUUCUGGCCACUUGUUGAUCUAAAGACCUCAAUCAAUAUGAUAAGAUUCAUGUCUACACUUUUUUCUAAUAUAAUACAUGUAGUAGCUAAUAAUUCAAAUAGAGAAAGUUUGGCAACAUACCGUUAGAAAGCAAAAGGACUGUACACAAAAGGCUGUGCCUAUUCAUCCUCAAAAUGAAAUUCCCUACAUUGUCAAAACAUAACAGAAACACAAAAACAAAGAGAUAUUUAGUAGGAAUGAUGAACAAAUAGAUAUUUACUUAAAAGUUCAUUAAAAGAUUGGAGAAUGAAUGAUUAAAUAAUUGUUCAACCAAAGAAAGUCAAUAAUGAUACAUAUAUGAUUGAAAACACAGGACUGAAGCUCUUUGUUUCAGUAUUUUAACUUUCUAGCCAAAGUGUAAUCUUCCUACCACUACGUCAUGAAAGCAUCCACAGAAAAACUCUUACUUGACUAUUCUCAUUUCUCACCAAGUAGCGUUAUUUUCACCUCAACAGAACCAUUUAUAUGAAGACAUGUAGCUACUUGGUAGUAUAAAAAAAGAAUGAAUGGCAAACUUAAAAAACAUAUUAUAAUGAAUAUAAAGUGAAAUCCAUCUCAUCAGAUAUCAAUAAUCAAUACAAGACAAACUGAUAAACAGAGUUUUUUUUUAACAUAAAGUGACACCAAAAGAACUUAUUUAAAAACCAAUUUCCCUACACAAGCAUCUUGUGGUUGGAGGUGGUCUGGGCCAACGACACAAUCAGCACUCAAGGAUUAAGGGAAUUGGAUAAGCUCUUUCUGGGUCCCAAAUACUCUCAACUCUCAUUUGAAAAAAGAAGAAAGACCACUUUUUAAAACAAAAUUAUUAGUGUCCAAUUAUAUAAUUCUCAGUCUCCACUAAGUAAUCAGUAAGCAUCUCAAGGUAUAUAUAAGACCACAUUGAAUUCCGCAAAAAUUUAAGAAGCAAUAACCAAAAAAAGCCAAGCAAAGGAGAGAGAGGAAAUUCUGACUUAAAGCGUUUUUCAAGAGUAAAAAAUGUCUGCAAAUGAGUUACCUUCUUCAGCUCAGUCCUUCCAACAACAAUUCCUUGGCGGUUUUGUCUCUAGAAAGCUUCUUCUGCACAACCCAUUUGACCAAAACUCUCAAC
This 3388-nucleotide long non-coding RNA is filed under the name Capsella rubella. RNAcentral describes it as "long non-coding RNA (CRUB_LNC005136)". Lineage: Eukaryota; Viridiplantae; Streptophyta; Magnoliopsida; Brassicales; Brassicaceae. The record is from RNAcentral.